AGUGAACGCUGGCGGUAGGCCUAACACAUGCAAGUCGAACGGCAGCACAGUAAGAGCUUGCUCUUACGGGUGGCGAGUGGCGGACGGGUGAGGAAUACAUCGGAAUCUACUUUUUCGUGGGGGAUAACGUAGGGAAACUUACGCUAAUACCGCAUACGACCUACGGGUGAAAGCAGGGGAUCUUCGGACCUUGCGCGAUUGAAUGAGCCGAUGUCGGAUUAGCUAGUUGGCGGGGUAAAGGCCCACCAAGGCGACGAUCCGUAGCUGGUCUGAGAGGAUGCUCAGACACACUGGAACUGAGACACGGUCCAGACUCCUACGGGAGGCAGCAGUGGGGAAUAUUGGACAAUGGGCGCAAGCCUGAUCCAGCCAUACCGCGUGGGUGAAGAAGGCCUUCGGGUUGUAAAGCCCUUUUGUUGGGAAAGAAAAGCAGCAGGUUAAUACCCCGCUGUUCUGACGGUACCCAAAGAAUAAGCACCGGCUAACUUCGUG
RNAcentral lists this ribosomal RNA (492 nucleotides) under uncultured bacterium. RNAcentral's name for it is "partial 16S ribosomal RNA". It matches the Rfam family "Bacterial small subunit ribosomal RNA", at positions 29 to 507 of the family's 1533-position model. The record is from RNAcentral.